GAUGAACGCUGGCGGCGUGCCUAAUACAUGCAAGUCGAGCGAACAGACGCGGAGCUUGCUCCUCUGAUGUUAGCGGCGGACGGGUGAGUAACACGUGGAUACCCUACCUAUAAGACUGGGAUAACUUCGGGAAACCGGAGCUAAUACCGUAUAACAUGUUGAACCGCAUGGUUCAACAGUGAAAGACGGUCUUGCUGUCACUUAUAGCUGGCUCCGCGCCGCAUUGGCUAGUUGGUAAGGUAACGGCUUACCAAGGCAACGAUGCGUAGCCGACCGGAGAGGGGGAUCGGCCACACGGGAACUGAGACGCGGUCAUUACGCCUACGGGAGGCAGCAGUAGGGAAUCGUCGGCAGUGGGCGGAAGCCUGACGGAGCAGCGCCGCGUGAGUGAAGAAGGUCUUCGGUUCGGAAAACUCUGUUAUGAGUGAAGAACAAAUGUGUAAGGAACUAUGCACGUCGUGACGGUACCUAAUCAGAAAGCCACGGCUAACUACGUG
Molecule: ribosomal RNA, 497 nt
Filed under: uncultured bacterium
Lineage: Bacteria
Description: partial 16S ribosomal RNA
Rfam family: Bacterial small subunit ribosomal RNA
Source: RNAcentral